Molecule: long non-coding RNA, 1087 nt
Organism: Olea europaea var. sylvestris
Lineage: Eukaryota; Viridiplantae; Streptophyta; Magnoliopsida; Lamiales; Oleaceae
Exons: 2
Source: RefSeq, a predicted model, not a curated record
GGGACAUGAUUGAUUAUUGGGUUUAGCCAGAAUGACGAAAGGAAAAGAUUGGGUUCUACAAUCAAGAUUAGAAGCAACAGAAAUCGCGCGCUCUGUGCGUGUAAUGCAUGUAACUAGGAAUAUAUGCACGUCUUGAUGUAUGUGUGCGUGCUUUUAUGUGCUUGGGUAUGUUUUCUGUUAUUUGUUGCAAGGUAAGAGCUUUUUGCCCACUAGAAAAUUAUUCAAUGUGCAGGAGAGACCUCCAUUUCCCAACUCUACCUGCAGUCUAGCUUUGUUUGAAAGUGGGUGGGACGUGGAGCUCUUAGUUGUUAUUAAUCUCUUCAAACUGCAUAGUUUUACAGGCUGGCGAAUUUAUAGAAUUUUCUCUUAUUUCAGUUUGUGUCUGCUUGUGUUAAAACAUUUUAUGCUCAAGAGAACCAGAAUUUCCCUAUAAAGCAUGCAUUAGAAAGUACAAGACUAUAACACGCUUUUAAGUUACUAUAAUAAAUUCAUUGUUUUCCUUUUCUUUUGGCAAUCAAUUGCAAUAUAUACGGACAGUGCUUCCAAAUAAAAUAUGUAAAAAAUAUGUAGAACCUAUUUGGCUUAUCCUCGCUGCCUUUCUCUUAUCUUCAGGACUGUAACUGAUCGUCAACGUGCUAUGCUAGAAGAAUUUGCAAAGGAGGAAAUCAUUCGUGAAAAUGACAUGUUUGCUGAAGGCAUUAGGUGGCAGCAAAUUGUUGAACGUCUAUUGGAGCCAAAAUUGCUGCUCCAAUUCUCAUUUUUCAUGUUGAUAAUUCUCUUGCUAAACAAAAUCACCUGAGUGAUGCUGAGGUUGCUGCACGAUUUAUGUCGAUGAGAUGCACAUUUGUUUGGUGAAUGAACAAGUGGCUACUGGGUACCCUUUGAUGGGUGCAAGAUUCCCGUAGCUUCUCUUCUGUUGAUAGUGUUUGAAUGGUAUUUCGACAAAAUUUUACCCCUUUACUUUUGGGUAAUGGAUCAGUGGACAUUAUUUGGAGAAAUGAAUCUGGAUAAGCUAUAAAAUUUCUACUUCCUGUAUUAGCUUUUAUAUCAUCAUUUGUGGUAAUACCUUGAUUUUGUACUUCGUCUA